Molecule: ribosomal RNA, 460 nt
Filed under: uncultured bacterium
Lineage: Bacteria
Description: partial 16S ribosomal RNA
Rfam family: Bacterial small subunit ribosomal RNA
Source: RNAcentral
CCUACGGGAGGCUGCAGUGAGGAAUAUUGGUCAAUGGACGAGAGUCUGAACCAGCCAAGUAGCGUGAAGGAUGACUGCCCUGUGGGUUGUAAACUUCUUUUAUAAAGGAAUAAAACGAGGCACGUGUGCCUUUUUGCGUGUACUUUAUGAAUAAGGAUCGGCUAACUCCGUGCCAGCAGCCGCGGUAAUACGGAGGAUCCGAGCGUUAUCCGGAUUUAUUGGGUUUAAAGGGAGCGUAGAGGGGUUGUUAAGUCAGUUGAGAAAGUCUGCGGCUCAACCGUAAAAUUGCAAUUGAUACUGGCAGUCUCGAGUACAGUUGAGGUAGGCGGAAUUCGUGGUGUAGCGGUGAAAUGCAUAGAUAUCACGCAGAACCCCGAUUGCGAAGGCAGCCUUCCGGCGCCCUACUGACGCUGAGGCACGAAAGUGCGGGGAUCGAACAGGAUUAGAUACCCCGGUAGUC